AUUGAACGCUGGCGGAAUGCUUUACACAUGCAAGUCGAACGGCAGCACGGACUUCGGUCUGGUGGCGAGUGGCGAACGGGUGAGUAAUGUAUCGGAACGUGCCCAGUCGUGGGGGAUAACGUAGUGAAAAUUACGCUAAUACCGCAUACGCUCUAUGGAUGAAAGCGGGGGAUCGCAAGACCUCGCGCGAUUGGAGCGGCCGAUAUCAGAUUAGGUAGUUGGUGGGGUAAAGGCCCACCAAGCCAACGAUCUGUAGCUGGUCUGAGAGGACGACCAGCCACACUGGAACUGAGACACGGUCCAGACUCCUACGGGAGGCAGCAGUGGGGAAUUUUGGACAAUGGGCGAAAGCCUGAUCCAGCCAUUCCGCGUGCAGGAUGAAGGCCCUCGGGUUGUAAACUGCUUUUGUACAGAACGAAAAGGUUUCUACUAAUACUAGGAGCUCAUGACGGUACUGUAAGAGUAAGCACCGGCUAACUACGUGCCAGCAGCCGCCGUAA
Molecule: ribosomal RNA, 500 nt
Filed under: uncultured bacterium
Lineage: Bacteria
Description: partial 16S ribosomal RNA
Rfam family: Bacterial small subunit ribosomal RNA
Source: RNAcentral